GACUUGGUAUUCAAGUGGUUAAGAGGACAGUCUGCAAAACUGUUAUCGUGGGUUCGAUUCCCAUCCAAGUCU
Molecule: transfer RNA, 72 nt
Filed under: Treponema sp.
Lineage: Bacteria; Pseudomonadati; Spirochaetota; Spirochaetia; Treponematales; Treponemataceae
Description: tRNA-Cys
Rfam family: tRNA
About the family: Transfer RNA (tRNA) molecules are approximately 80 nucleotides in length. Their secondary structure includes four short double-helical elements and three loops (D, anti-codon, and T loops).
Source: RNAcentral